GAUGAACGCUGGCGGCGUGCCUAAUACAUACAAGUCGAGCGAACAGACGAGGAGCUUGCUCCUCUGACGUUAGCGGCGGACGGGUGAGUAACACGUGGAUAACCUACCUAUAAGACUGGGAUAACUUCGGGAAACCGGAGCUAAUACCGGAUAAUAUAUUGAACCGCAUGGUUCAAUAGUGAAAGACGGUUUUGCUGUCACUUAUAGAUGGAUCCGCGCCGCAUUAGCUAGUUGGUAAGGUAACGGCUUACCAAGGCAACGAUGCGUAGCCGACCUGAGAGGAUGAUCAGCCACACUGGAACUGAGACACGGUCCAGACUCCUACGGGAGGCAGCAGUAGGGAAUCUUCCGCAAUGGGCGAAAGCCUGACGGAGCAACGCCGCGUGAGUGAUGAAGGUCUUCGGAUCGUAAAACUCUGUUAUUAGGGAAGAACAAAUGUGUAAGUAACUAUGCACGUCUUGACGGUACCUAAUCAGAAAGCCACGGCUAACUACGUG
This 497-nucleotide ribosomal RNA is filed under the name uncultured bacterium. RNAcentral's name for it is "partial 16S ribosomal RNA". It matches the Rfam family "Bacterial small subunit ribosomal RNA", at positions 28 to 507 of the family's 1533-position model. The record is from RNAcentral.